CAGAGAGGAAGAGGAGGAGGACAUGGCCUGUCAUUUUAAAUAGUGUACAAUUUCUCAUCCUAUUCAACACUGGAUGCUCUUCAGUGACUUCAGGGUUGUGGACAUUAAAGAAUUCAUCAAUUUCGUGUGCAUAAUAUGUGUAAUAAUACGCUAUGCUGCAAACUGAUAUUGCAGUGAUCCUCUCAUUAUUACAACAGUUGAAAAGUGCAGUGAAAUGUAAAAAGGUAACAGAAUGGGAAGUGUGCCCUCCAAUUUACAACCUUCACUUUUCACUGUUUCACAGUAUUCAUACAAACAUUAAGUACCUAAAUGCAUGCUGUUACAUAUUCAGUUGUAUAACGAAAUUAUUUUGAAUGUAGACAGUUGAUGUGAAAUGAUAUUAGAUCAUCUGUACUUGAACGUUCUGCACUCUGUGAAAUGAUGGAUGUUUGGUUGACAGCAGUUGCAUAUUGCUUUUAAAGGAAGUAAAGGAAGAAAAAAAAGCACAUGCAAAGAGACCCACAUGCUGAAUAAAAUGAUGGCUACAAUCACCUGAAAUCUCCACAUCCUAUUUAUGCCACAAUAGCAUGAUUAUAGUUUUGAAAUAAUGCGAUAAUAUCUGUGUGUGUGAGACGCAAUUGUGAAAAGACGAUGAAGACAGUUGACAACUGCUUCCUCUAGCUGUUAAAUUAUAGCUGUUUAAAUGUGAACGUUUUAUCAACCACUGUUACAACCUAAGCGUGGAGCAUUAAACUGAUAUUUUAGAAAGCUUUUCAGUAUCUAUCAUAAUCUAUUAUACAUAAUAAUAAAGUAUUUAUCCAAAUAGUAAAAAGUUGUUUCCAGCAUUAGUUUUGCAGACUGUUCAUCAUCAUAAAUCAAUAAUAAGAUGUACAAGCAUUAUUUAUAUUGCCAAAUUGGACAAAUUUCUUUUUGUGGGAAUGUGAUUCAUUAAAACUUUCACCUACAGAUCAGCUUUCAGAUCAUAUUUCUCCACUUUACCUUCUGAAGUCUCACAGUAAGAGCGAGGUUAGGAGGCAAGGAGGUGCUUUUUUGGUGUAAAGGCUGCAGAAUGGGUGCUGUUCUUGAUUCAAAUGGCAUUAAAAAAUAAAUUCAGAUCAAUAUUUGUUUUAUAAUAUUGUUAAGAUCAAUAAAUGUACCCAUUUUUUUUUUUAUAAGUCUCCGUCUAACGAUUAUUGUGUAUAAUCUAUUGUAAUAGGAAAAAACAAUAAUAAAGGAAAGAAAGAAACCAGUUUAAGAAAGGAAUGGGAUAGAAAAUCAAAAGCAGAGGACAUUUAUUGAAGAACAGACAAAAGUGCAAGAGGCAUCAAUUAUACAUCCAUCAUCAUCCCCCCGACCCAAACAAGGAAAUCACAUGCGGACUUUACAGCAUUUGUUUCUCAUUCUCUUUGACUCUGAGACACAAAUACAUUUCUCUUAAGAAACUGUCUAUAAAAUCCAGUGAAAACAACAACUGCCCUGCAGUGCACUUUAUACAACAUGACCAGCAUUAUUAAAGUUAUCAAUAAAGUCCUUGCCCCAGAAAUCCACAGACAACGAAAUGAAGCCAGCUCCAAUCAUAAAAGAAAGACUGAUGCAAAAACAAGCCUGAAACAAGAUCAAGAACACCAUGAGUCCCAUAGAAAAAAAACAUUUAAAUGUGCUUGGUUCCUGGUUCAGACAGUCAGGAUUAUGGUAGAUAAAAAGAAAAGAGAAACAAAGAGAAAGAGAGAGAGAGAGAGAGAGAGAGAGAGAGUGAGGCUGAGGUGAUUGGCUGAGUGGCUGUUAUUGUUUCUGUGCAAUGUAAAUUCUGUGCAAUACCAGCAGAUAUGUCAAACUAGUGCUGAGGCAACAGCCAGCUCAGUUCAUAAGGACCCUUUAAAAAACAACGGAAAAACACUGAAUAUAAUAAAAAGGUUACACGCAUUAAAAAAGUGACAAUAUAAGAACACAAGGCUUUUCAUUUCAGUUAAAUGUACACUCAAGUUUGAGUGCAGCAUGAGCACAAUUGUACAAAUGAUCACACAGUCUGAUCAGUUUGACUGAUACACAAGAGCAACUUCUGAACACUCCAUAGGGAAAAAGCAUGCAGUUCCAGCAAAACGUCUUUAAGUAAUCUUUUACAUAGGUGACAACAUCAUCUUGGGGAAAAGAAACCAAAAUCGAAAUUGACUUUAUGGUCUCUAAAGUGACCACAGAGAAACACAUGAAGUGGCAGAAAACAAACUAAGAAGAACUAAAGCACAGGGAUGUGAUGAAAAAUCUGGAGGAGGAGAAGGAGGAAGAGGAAGAGGAGGAGGAGAAGGAAUGUGUCUCCUGCUUUUAGGAAGCACUGAAACGUCUCUUCUGUUCGCUUAAUGGCUCCAGCAGCUCAGAGCGCAGACGGGCCCGAAGCAGGCUGUACACAGAGAGGGAGAGGAAAGGAAGGAGGACAGAACUGAGAGAUACAUUACAGUGAUAGAAGGGUAAAGGAAAAUGAAAUAUGGCUUGCGAGGAAUAUACAGCAGUCUCAGUGCUGAAGCAUACACAAAAUCUAUCCCUUCUGCAGGUUUUAGAACUUCAUGUUGUGGAGUCGGACGAGUCCUGACAGGUUCCUUGACACAAACAAGCCAUGGCUCCAUCUCACGAGGCAUGGGACGGGCCUGCAGAUGUUCCCGGACAAGCUGCAUCUUGUCACUAUUCGCUGGAACACUCACUUCUUUGAGAGCUUUUACUCACCCCCUCCUAAUCCCCCCACUUUUUUUCCCUCCACCUUUACUCCUCCUCUGUCUUUUCCUCCGGCGCAAUUCAGCAUGAAGUCAGAGAACUUAAUUCAUGGAGAAGGGUGCAGUGAUUGGCCCUUGAGCACGAUAGGGUUCAGAAAGGAGGCACAGAGUAUUUACACAAGUAUUAUAAAUCCAUUCUCCUAAUCUCCCAUCAUUUGGCUGUGAUUACCAAUGAUGCUUGCAGUGGGGUCCAUUAAAAUCACAGCAUGCCCACUACUGUGUUCAUGGCAGAUGCGCUAAAAUGCAAAUAAAGCUGAUGGUUCGCCACACAAA
This is a long non-coding RNA of Silurus meridionalis, 3014 nucleotides long. RefSeq lists it as uncharacterized. NCBI's taxonomy places the organism in Eukaryota, Metazoa, Chordata, Actinopteri, Siluriformes, Siluridae. The transcript has 3 exons. The record is from RefSeq and is a predicted model, not a curated record.